UGUAUCUUUCCAUGGUUUCGCAUUUUUUCUAGGUGGAAUCACCGCAUGCGCUUGCCGAUCUGCAAUG
This 67-nucleotide ribosomal RNA is filed under the name Acinetobacter baumannii 1571545. RNAcentral's name for it is "partial 16S ribosomal RNA". Lineage: Bacteria; Pseudomonadati; Pseudomonadota; Gammaproteobacteria; Moraxellales; Moraxellaceae. The record is from RNAcentral.